GGUGAUGUUGCGAAAAUAAAAUUUUCGGUUCGCGAACGGCGAACGCGAACUUCCGCAAAUGUACGCGAACGGGCGAACCGCCAUAGAGUUCAAUAGGCAGGCGAAUUUUAAAACCCACAGGGACUCUUUCUGGCCACAAUAGUGAUGGAAAAGUUGUUUCAAGGGGACUAACACCUGGACUGUGCAUGCCGGAGGGGGAUCCAUG
Molecule: non-coding RNA, 205 nt
Organism: Pelobates cultripes (western spadefoot toad)
Lineage: Eukaryota; Metazoa; Chordata; Amphibia; Anura; Pelobatidae
Source: the annotation of a GenBank genome assembly